GGCCAGAUAGCUCAGACGGUAGAGCAGCGGACUGAAAAUCCGUGUGUCGUUGGUUCAAUUCCGACUCUGGCCA
This 73-nucleotide transfer RNA is filed under the name Candidatus Rifleibacteriota bacterium. Its description in RNAcentral is "tRNA-Phe". It matches the Rfam family "tRNA". From Rfam's summary of the family: Transfer RNA (tRNA) molecules are approximately 80 nucleotides in length. The record is from RNAcentral. Lineage: Bacteria; Candidatus Rifleibacteriota.